Molecule: ribosomal RNA, 301 nt
Filed under: uncultured bacterium
Lineage: Bacteria
Description: partial 16S ribosomal RNA
Rfam family: Bacterial small subunit ribosomal RNA
Source: RNAcentral
CAGUAGCCGCGGGAAUACGGAGGGUGCAAGCGUUAUCCGGAUUUAUUGGGUUUAAAGGGUCCGUAGGCGGAUCUGUAAGUCAGUGGUGAAAUCUCACAGCUUAACUGUGAAACUGCCAUUGAUACUGCAGGUCUUGAGUAAAUUUGAAGUGGCUGGAAUAAGUAGUGUAGCGGUGAAAUGCAUAGAUAUUACUUAGAACACCAAUUGCGAAGGCAGGUCACUAAGAUUUAACUGACGCUGAUGGACGAAAGCGUGGGGAGCGAACAGGAUUAGAUACCCCUGUAGUCCCUGUCUCUUAUAU